RNAcentral lists this ribosomal RNA (207 nucleotides) under uncultured bacterium. RNAcentral describes it as "partial 16S ribosomal RNA". It matches the Rfam family "Bacterial small subunit ribosomal RNA", at positions 328 to 544 of the family's 1533-position model. The record is from RNAcentral.
ACGCUCGACACCUACGGAGGCAGCAGUGGGGAAUAUUGCACAAUGGGGGGAAACCCUGAUGCAGCGACGCCGCGUGGAGGAAGAAGGUCUUCGGAUUGUAAACUCCUGUUGUUGGGGAAAAAGAGGAUGGUACCCAACAAGGAAGUGACGGCUAACUACGUGCCAGUAGCGCGGUAACGUUACUUGAGGCGGGCGUGGCGAAGGACG